CCUACGGGAGGCAGCAGUGAGGAAUAUUGGUCAAUGGGGGGAACCCUGAUGCAGCGACGCCGCGUGGGUGAAGACGCGCCUCGGCGCGUAAAGCCCUGUCAGCAGGGAAGAAAAUGACGGUACCUGAAGAAGAAGCCCCGGCUAACUACGUGCCCGCAGCCGCGGUAAUACGUAGGGGGCAAGCGUUAUCCGGAUUUACGGGGUGUAAGGGGGGCGCAGACGGCGAUGCAAGCCAGGAGUGAAAGCCCGGGGCCCAACCCCGGGACUGCUCUUGGAACUGCGUGGCUGGAGUGCAGAAGGGGCAGGCGGAAUGCCUGGUGUAGCGGUGAAAUGCGUAGAUAUCAGGAGGAACACCGGUGGCGAAGGCGGCCUGCUGGACUGCAACUGACGUUGAGGCCCGAAAGCGUGGGGAGCAAACAGGAUUAGAUACCCUUGUAGUC
Molecule: ribosomal RNA, 440 nt
Filed under: uncultured bacterium
Lineage: Bacteria
Description: partial 16S ribosomal RNA
Rfam family: Bacterial small subunit ribosomal RNA
Source: RNAcentral